RNAcentral lists this ribosomal RNA (296 nucleotides) under Anaplasma phagocytophilum. Its description in RNAcentral is "partial 16S ribosomal RNA". It matches the Rfam family "Bacterial small subunit ribosomal RNA", at positions 141 to 453 of the family's 1533-position model. The record is from RNAcentral. Lineage: Bacteria; Pseudomonadati; Pseudomonadota; Alphaproteobacteria; Rickettsiales; Anaplasmataceae.
GGAUAGCCACUGGAAAUGGUGGGUAAUACCGUAUAAUCCCCGCGGGGGAAAGAUUUAUCGCUAUUAGAUGAGCCUAUGUCGGAUUAGCUAGUUGGUGGGGUAAUGGCCUACCAAGGCAGUGAUCUGUAGCUGGUCUGAGAGGAUGAUCAGCCACACUGGAACUGAGACACGGUCCAGACUCCUACGGGAGGCAGCAGUGGGGAAUAUUGGGCAAUGGGCGCAAGCCUGAUCCAGCUAUGCCGCGUGAGUGAGGAAGGCCUUAGGGUUGUAAAACUCUUUCAGUAGGGAAGAUAAUG